This 483-nucleotide ribosomal RNA is filed under the name uncultured bacterium. Its description in RNAcentral is "bacterial SSU rRNA". It matches the Rfam family "Bacterial small subunit ribosomal RNA", at positions 28 to 507 of the family's 1533-position model. The record is from RNAcentral.
GAUGAACGCUAGCGGCAGGCUUAACACAUGCAAGUCGAGGGGCAGCGUGGAGUAGCAAUACUCUGACGGCGACCGGCGGAAGGGUGCGUAACACGUGAGCGACUUGCCCGUCACAGGGGGAUAACCGGCGGAAACGGCGACUAAUACCCCAUAUGAUGUGAUGCUGCAUGGCAUCGCAUUGAAAGAUUCAUCGGUGGCGGAUAGGCUCGCGGGACAUUAGCUAGACGGCGGGGCAACGGCCCACCGUGGCGACGAUGUCUAGGGGUUCUGAGAGGAAGACCCCCCANACUGGGACUGAGACACGGCCCAGACUCCUACGGGAGGCAGCAGUGAGGAAUAUUGGUCAAUGGGCGAAGCCUGAACCAGCCAUGCCGCGUGAAGGACUAAGGCCCUACGGGUCGUAAACUUCUUAGACGCAGAGCAAUAAGGUCCACGCGUGGACCGAUGAGAGUAUGCGUAGAAUAAGCAUCGGCUAACUCCGUG